This 234-nucleotide unclassified non-coding RNA is filed under the name Hevea brasiliensis (rubber tree). The record is from RNAcentral. Lineage: Eukaryota; Viridiplantae; Streptophyta; Magnoliopsida; Malpighiales; Euphorbiaceae.
GUCGAGAUUCAUGCAAGUAUGGCUGCAAGAUUAGUUUGAAUUGUAAGUCAUGAGAGAUCCAAUACAAAAAAGAACUUGGAAUGUAAAAGACUGUUGUACAUAGUAACUGAAACAAUAGUCCAAAGUUCCACAGGCAAAGUUGACACAGGUGAAGAUUUCAAGAUUAUUGUAUACUAGGAAUCAUAACAACAGAUCAUUCAAGGAACAAGUUUAAUUAUCACUGACAUAAUAAGA